This 917-nucleotide ribosomal RNA is filed under the name Saccharomyces cf. cerevisiae/paradoxus. RNAcentral's name for it is "LSU rRNA". It matches the Rfam family "Eukaryotic large subunit ribosomal RNA", at positions 34 to 967 of the family's 3401-position model. Lineage: Eukaryota; Fungi; Ascomycota; Saccharomycetes; Saccharomycetales; Saccharomycetaceae. The record is from RNAcentral.
UUAAGCAUAUCAAUAAGCGGAGGAAAAAGAAACCAACCGGGAUUGCCUUAGUAACGGCGAGUGAAGCGGCAAAAGCUCAAAUUUGAAAUCUGGUACCUUCGGUGCCCGAGUUGUAAUUUGGAGAGGGCAACUUUGGGGCCGUUCCUUGUCUAUGUUCCUUGGAACAGGACGUCAUAGAGGGUGAGAAUCCCGUGUGGCGAGGAGUGCGGUUCUUUGUAAAGUGCCUUCGAAGAGUCGAGUUGUUUGGGAAUGCAGCUCUAAGUGGGUGGUAAAUUCCAUCUAAAGCUAAAUAUUGGCGAGAGACCGAUAGCGAACAAGUACAGUGAUGGAAAGAUGAAAAGAACUUUGAAAAGAGAGUGAAAAAGUACGUGAAAUUGUUGAAAGGGAAGGGCAUUUGAUCAGACAUGGUGUUUUGUGCCCUCUGCUCCUUGUGGGUAGGGGAAUCUCGCAUUUCACUGGGCCAGCAUCAGUUUUGGUGGCAGGAUAAAUCCAUAGGAAUGUAGCUUGCCUCGGUAAGUAUUAUAGCCUGUGGGAAUACUGCCAGCUGGGACUGAGGACUGCGACGUAAGUCAAGGAUGCUGGCAUAAUGGUUAUAUGCCGCCCGUCUUGAAACACGGACCAAGGAGUCUAACGUCUAUGCGAGUGUUUGGGUGUAAAACCCAUACGCGUAAUGAAAGUGAACGUAGGUUGGGGCCUCGCAAGAGGUGCACAAUCGACCGAUCCUGAUGUCUUCGGAUGGAUUUGAGUAAGAGCAUAGCUGUUGGGACCCGAAAGAUGGUGAACUAUGCCUGAAUAGGGUGAAGCCAGAGGAAACUCUGGUGGAGGCUCGUAGCGGUUCUGACGUGCAAAUCGAUCGUCGAAUUUGGGUAUAGGGGCGAAAGACUAAUCGAACCAUCUAGUAGCUGGUUCCUGCGAGU